AAAUGAUUAUAAGUUGUCAUGUUUCGAGUGAAUAAGCAAGACAUCAGGAGGAGAGGCGGAGCUCGAUGGCUAGUGGUGACCACAACUGCUCUCUUGCCAGCGCUGCCGCCACAGCAUGUGCGAUCCUUCUCGGGCCUCCCCACUGCCAGGGCCAAGAACUGAGAGGCGUGCAAAUACUCCCUGCCCUAACCUAGCCGACGACACAUUGCUGCUGUUGCAUCUGAUAAUGAUGAUGCAUGUCACCAUCAAGGUGGUUUUGCCAUUUCCAGUGAGAAAAGGAGAUCAAGGCUGGCCUCCCUGUGCUCCUGCUAGUGCACACAUGUUUGGGGGUUGUUGUUGUUGUUUUCCCUAUCCGUGUCCCCGAUCUGCUGCUGCGGGUACGGCUUCUCGGCCUCAGAUGCGGCCCUAGAUUCCUGCACUAGUCGUCGCAAGCAUCGACCAGCGGUGGGCUAGCAUUCCGGGUGGAUGACACCACUUGGUGCACUGAGAUUGGCAUCGACUACAAUCCGUCCUAGAUCUGGAAGGGACAUCUUCAAGAUCAUGUGCAUCCCGAGCCUUCGUCUUCUGGCUAAGGAGACUAGUCACUAGCUGAUUUGACACCAGAUUCUGUUGUACCCACUAAACUUCCUCGGGUCCCUAAAUAUGUGAAUUCUUCUCAAGGACCUGUUAGUAAUACAUCAUCAACAUCCUAGCAUGGUGCUGCGAACUCAGCUGUGAGUGUUCCAUAUAUGCUUCUCGUUGCCAAGCUCUUCGAUGGGAUCUCUUAGCUCGGACAAAUCAAGUUUCAACCUAGAUGCUAAGGUUCGGUAUGUG
Molecule: non-coding RNA, 813 nt
Organism: Lolium perenne
Lineage: Eukaryota; Viridiplantae; Streptophyta; Magnoliopsida; Poales; Poaceae
Source: RefSeq, a predicted model, not a curated record